This 89-nucleotide transfer RNA is filed under the name Candidatus Vogelbacteria bacterium RIFOXYD1_FULL_46_19. Its description in RNAcentral is "tRNA-Ser". It matches the Rfam family "tRNA". From Rfam's summary of the family: Transfer RNA (tRNA) molecules are approximately 80 nucleotides in length. Lineage: Bacteria; Candidatus Vogeliibacteriota. The record is from RNAcentral.
GGAGGGUUGGCUGAGUGGCCGAAAGCGCCUCACUGCUAACGAGGUAGGGGCUUUAAAACCCCUCGUGGGUUCGAAUCCCACACCCUCCG